GACGAACGCUGGCGGCGUGCUUAACACAUGCAAGUCGAACGGUAAGGCCCUUCGGGGUACACGAGUGGCGAACGGGGGAGUAACACGUGGGUGAACUGCCCUGCACUUCGGGACACGCCUGGGAAACUGGGUCUAAUACCGGAUAGGAGCACUGCCGGCUUGGGUGGGGGUGGAAAGCUUUUGCGGUGUGGGAUGGGCCCGCGGCCUAUCAGCUUGUUUGUGGGGUGAUGUCCUACCAAGGCGACGACGGGUAGCCGGCCUGAGAGGGUGACCGGCCACACUGGGACUGAGAUACGGCCCAGACUCCUACGGGAGGCAGCAGUGGGGAAUAUUGCACAAUGGGCGCAAGCCUGAUGCAGCGACGCCGCGUGAGGGAUGACGGCCUUCGGGUUGUAAACCUCUUUCAGCACCGACGAAGCGCAAGUGACGGUAGGUGCAGAAGAAGGACCGGCCAACUACGUGCCAGCCGCCGCAGUAA
Molecule: ribosomal RNA, 478 nt
Filed under: uncultured bacterium
Lineage: Bacteria
Description: partial 16S ribosomal RNA
Rfam family: Bacterial small subunit ribosomal RNA
Source: RNAcentral